This 443-nucleotide ribosomal RNA is filed under the name uncultured bacterium. Its description in RNAcentral is "partial 16S ribosomal RNA". It matches the Rfam family "Bacterial small subunit ribosomal RNA", at positions 338 to 795 of the family's 1533-position model. The record is from RNAcentral.
CCUACGGGUGGCUGCAGUGGGGAAUAUUGGUCAAUGGAGGAAACUCUGAACCAGCAACGCCGCGUGAAUGAUGAAGGUCUUCGGAUUGUAAAGUUCUUUUCUAAGGGAAGAAGAUAGUGACGGUACCUUAGGAAUAAGCCUCGGCUAACUACGUGCCAGCAGCCGCGGUAAUACGUAGGAGGCAAGCGUUAUCCGGAAUGACUGGGCGUAAAGGGUGCGUAGGUGGUUUGGCAAGUUAGUAGCGUAACCCCGGGGCUCAACCUCGGAACUACUACUAAAACUGUCGGACUUGAGUGCAGGAGGGGCAAUUGGAAUUCCUAGUGUAGCGGUGGAAUGCGUAGAUAUUAGGAGGAACACCAGUGGCGAAGGCGAAUUGCUGGACUGUAACUGACACUGAGGCACGAAAGCGUGGGGAGCAAACAGGAUUAGAUACCCCGGUAGUC